RNAcentral lists this ribosomal RNA (691 nucleotides) under uncultured bacterium. RNAcentral's name for it is "bacterial SSU rRNA". It matches the Rfam family "Bacterial small subunit ribosomal RNA", at positions 32 to 715 of the family's 1533-position model. The record is from RNAcentral.
AACGCUAGCUACAGGCUUAACACAUGCAAGUCGAGGGGCAGCAUUGGGGUAGCAAUACUUCAGAUGGCGACCGGCGCACGGGUGAGUAACACGUAUCCAACCUGCCGAUGACUCGGGGAUAGCCUUUCGAAAGAAAGAUUAAUACCCGAUGGCAUAGUUCUUCCGCAUGGUAGAACUAUUAAAGAAUUUCGGUCAUCGAUGGGGAUGCGUUCCAUUAGGUUGUUGGCGGGGUAACGGCCCACCAAGCCUUCGAUGGAUAGGGGUUCUGAGAGGAAGGUCCCCCACAUUGGAACUGAGACACGGUCCAAACUCCUACGGGAGGUAGCAGUGAGGAAUAUUGGUCAAUGGGCGAGAGCCUGAACCAGCCAAGUAGCGUGCAGGAUGACGGCCCUAUGGGUUGUAAACUGCUUUUAUAAGGGAAUAAAGUGAGAGUCGUGACUCUUUUUGCAUGUACCUUAUGAAUAAGGACCGGCUAAUUCCGUGCCAGCAGCCGCGGUAAUACGGAAGGUCCGGGCGUUAUCCGGAUUUAUUGGGUUUAAAGGGAGCGUAGGCCGGAGAUUAAGCGUGUUGUGAAAUGUAGAUGCUCAACAUCUGCACUGCAGCGCGAACUGGUUUCCUUGAGUACGCACAAAGUGGGCGGAAUUCGUGGUGUAGCGGUGAAAUGCUUAGAUAUCACGAAGAACUCCGAUUG